GCCGCGAUCGUCAAAACGGUCAUGACGCCGGGUUCUCAUCCCGGAAGUCGGGGUUCGAGUCCCGAGCCACGGAA
Molecule: transfer RNA, 74 nt
Filed under: uncultured Acidimicrobiales bacterium
Lineage: Bacteria; Bacillati; Actinomycetota; Acidimicrobiia; Acidimicrobiales
Description: tRNA-Glu-CTC
Rfam family: tRNA
About the family: Transfer RNA (tRNA) molecules are approximately 80 nucleotides in length. Their secondary structure includes four short double-helical elements and three loops (D, anti-codon, and T loops).
Source: RNAcentral